GACGAACGCUGGCGGCGUGCUUAACACAUGCAAGUCGAACGGUAAGGCCCUGCGUUGGUGGGGAGUUCGAGAGGCGAGCGUGAGACUAACACGAGAGUCACCCGCCCCUGGCUUUGCGAUAACUACAGGGGACUGGGGCUGAUACCGGACAGCAUCUCCCGCGGCUGGGUGGGGGUUGGAAAGCUUCGGCGGUUGGGGAUGGACUCGCGGCUUAUCAGCUUGUUGGUGGGGUAGUGGCUUACCAAGGCCUUGACGGGUAGCCGGCCUGAGAGGGUGACCGGCCACAUUGGGACUGAGAUACGGCCCAGACUCCUACGGGAGGCAGCAGUGGGGAAUAUUGCACAAUGGGCGGAAGCCUGAUGCAGCAACGCCGCGUGCGGGAUGACGGCCUUCGGGUUGUAAACCGCUUUCGCCUGUGACGAAGCGUGAGUGACGGUAAUGGGUGAAGAAGCACCGGCUAACUACGUG
Molecule: ribosomal RNA, 468 nt
Filed under: uncultured bacterium
Lineage: Bacteria
Description: partial 16S ribosomal RNA
Rfam family: Bacterial small subunit ribosomal RNA
Source: RNAcentral